GCCCCGGUAGCUCAGCUGGAUAGAGUAGUAGGUUCCUAACCUAUUGGUCGCAGGUUCGAAUCCUGCCCGGGGCGCCA
This 77-nucleotide transfer RNA is filed under the name Woeseia sp. RNAcentral's name for it is "tRNA-Arg". It matches the Rfam family "tRNA". From Rfam's summary of the family: Transfer RNA (tRNA) molecules are approximately 80 nucleotides in length. Lineage: Bacteria; Pseudomonadati; Pseudomonadota; Gammaproteobacteria; Woeseiales; Woeseiaceae. The record is from RNAcentral.